Molecule: ribosomal RNA, 467 nt
Filed under: uncultured bacterium
Lineage: Bacteria
Description: partial 16S ribosomal RNA
Rfam family: Bacterial small subunit ribosomal RNA
Source: RNAcentral
GCCAGACUCCUACGGGAGGCAGCAGUGAGGAAUAUUGGUCAAUGGACACAAGUCUGAACCAGCCAUGCCGCGUGCAGGAUGACGGCUCUAUGAAUUGUAAACUGCUUUUGUACGAGGGUAAACCCCGAUACGUGUAUCGGGUUGAAAGUAUCGUACGAAUAAGGAUCGGCUAACUCCGUGCCAGCAGCCGCGGUAAUACGGAGGAUCCGAGCGUUAUCCGGAUUUAUUGGGUUUAAAGGGUGCGUAGGCGGUUUGAUAAGUUAGAGGUGAAAUGUCGGGGCUCAACCCCGAAACUGCCUCUAAUACUGUUGGACUAGAGAAUAGUUGCGGUAGGCGGAAUGUAUGGUGUAGCGGUGAAAUGCUUAGAUAUUGCGCAGAACUCCGAUUGCGAAGGCAGCAUACCGGCGGCGAUCUGACGCUGAGGCACGAAAGCGUGGGUAUCGAACAGGAUUAGAUACCCCAGUACC